Molecule: ribosomal RNA, 324 nt
Filed under: uncultured eukaryote
Lineage: Eukaryota
Description: partial 18S ribosomal RNA
Rfam family: Eukaryotic small subunit ribosomal RNA
Source: RNAcentral
CCCUUAGAUGUUCUGGGCCGCACGCGCGCUACACUGAUGCAUUCAACGAGUUUCUUCCUGGUCCGAGAGGAAUGGGUAACCUUUUGAAAGUGCAUCGUGAUAGGGAUAGACUAUUGCAAUUAUUGGUCUUCAACGAGGAAUUCCUAGUAGACGUAGUUCAUCAGACUGCAUCGAUUACGUUCCUGCCCUUUGUACACACCGCCCGUCGCUCCUACCGAUUGAAUGCUCAGGUGAGCCAUUCGGACUUUCAUCAUGCUGGUUUCCAGUUUUGAUGAAGGAAAGUCUUGCGAACCUUAUCAUUUAGAGGAAGGAGAAGUCGUAACA